AAGCCGAUUUUGUGGACGCGAAAUCGCUCAAUUCUUUUCCUUUCCCUCCGCACUAUGUUCCUCUCUCUUGGGUACGCGCGCCUUUUUGUCGUCUCCUUCGUUUCUGACGUGGAAGAUAAACUGGUUCUUGCUUUUGGCGUUGUGACCUGUUCUUCUCGCUCUGCACCACCUGCGUUUUUGGUGGUUAUCUAUAAUUAACGUUAUGCUUGAAAUCUGUUUACUUUGGUGCCCCUUGCUUCUGCAUAUUUGCUCUUUAACCUCAACGUUAUAUCGGACAGUUUACCGCACUGGUUAGCUGUGAUCACCCAAUAAAUCUCUCUGUUUUGCUUGGGUUUCCUCCUUGUUUUUGUAGCUUCAUUUUGCUGCUAUCUUUCUGUUUGGUGGCUGAAAGGAGUAUAAAAAGGGACAACGAGCUGCAGUGAGAGAGGAAUCUUCGUAGUCCUGCUUUCGGAAAACAUAAGAAUGAGGUUUCGGGAGCUAUCUAUUUGGCAUGAAUGAAGUUGUUGCCGAACAGACAGUUGAAGCUAACAAUGUAGCUAAUAUUAAGAACCCCUCUUUGGGAUGGAUGAUAGGAUUUCUUUUUUCUCUUCGUAAGAUUAUGAUCUUAGACUUCAAACUGACAUAUCCAAGUGGGGCACUGCAAUUGCUCACCUUAUCAACAAUUUCCACAUGCCACAAGGAGCUAAGCUAGAAAAGAAAGAAUAUUAUCCAUUUAGUAAAUUUUGUCAGCAUUAAUACAAAUGGUAUGAUUACAAUUUUAUCGUUUCUUUCUAAUCGAUCGCUACAGGAAACAAGUAAAAGCUCUGGGAAAGUUCUAACCUUCAGCUUCCUAUGGGGUUUCUUCCAAUGGUUUUUCACUGCUGGGGAUGACUGUGGAUUUGCAUGUUUCCAACGUUUGGUCUUAAAGCCUAUGAGAACAGCCUACAAUCUUGACGUAAUGGGAGGACUUCGCUCAGAUUGUCGGAAGCACCCUAGCUGCACAGGCUGCUGAAUAUCCAGUAAUUGUAGCAAAACGAGUUGCACGAACCAACUAUGCCGGUAUGGAAAGAAUAGAGCUUUCUUUGUACCCGUUGAGAACUGCUAUGAAUUCUUUACUAACAAAAUUUAAACAAUAUGGGAUUAUUAUUGUCGGCAAGGUACAACUUGGUCAUACUGAUAAAUUCACCAUAUUCCUAAGUUGGAGAACCUAUGAACUGGUAUGAAAUAAAUAUUAAUGUAAUCGAGUUUUAUAUUUCAUUAGUUAGUUCAUGUGAAUGAAACAUAUGCGGAAAGACAUACAAUUAGCAAGCUAUACGUUCAAACUCGCAUUUUCAGUUAAAUAACAAUUUGACCAUAUGUAUCCUGAACUCCAUACAACGAUCUUAUCUCAUUCUAAAUAUCAAGAAAAUGUUACUGUUGAAAAGAUAUUUGAAACAUGAAAUCUAAAACAUUUCAGCUUGGUUUUGCUUUGUAUAUUUAGAUGUGCAAAUGAAAUAGAGUUUAUCAAAAUAAUUCAAUCUGUUAAAAAAUUGGAAAUAUUCUGAAAAAACAAACUUAAUGUCGCAGACGAUAUUGCUACCCAAAUGGGUAAGUUUAAUAAGACACUAAUUUUACAUCACGGACCAAACUUCAUGUACAUUUUAAGCUUCUCACAAGAUCUCUCCAAUGAGCCAAUCGAGACGAUACCUCAAAUAACAAAGCUUCAGAAUGAUUACCUGAAACUCAUACAUUUUAAUUUCACAGAUUAACCAUACGACAUACUAGAAGUUAUCAGGUUCGGGCCCGGGCUCAGAACGGGCCAUUCCUCACUAGUACUAUUUAGAAGCGGGAGUGAAGCUCCUCUUCGGCGUCCUGCUCUCGGGUGUAAUUACAUUUAUACCCUUAGGUUUUCUUAUUACCCACAUUUUCUUAGGCCCAUUUAUGUAAAAUUAUUUUGCUCUUGGGCGGUGGCCUACCAGCCCUCCAUCAUUUGCUCUCUGUUUCUCUCUGUUGCUGGUCAACAUUUUUGUCCGCCGAAGCACCGAGUGUCUCGUGUUGCUCAUGAGUCAUGACCUCAUCCGCUCUUUCUUAGUUCUCCUCUUCCCUUCUGCUCUGUCUUCGCAAAACAGCCCUAAGAGGCGGAGGAAUAAGCAAAGUGCUUGUUUCAUCGUCCUCUUGUUUUUCAUCUGAUUCCGAUGUCUUUCUGCAAAUAGCAAAUACGACCUUGAAGCUCUUCAUAUUAAUAUAACAUUUAGAUGAAUUUUAGGGUUUCGAAUAUCGAAUUUUAAUUGUUUUUGUUUGUCGUCUCCGAAUAUUGAUUAGUUGUUAAAGGUACCGUUGAUUGGAGACUCAGAGAUACUGAAGAGUAGUUUAUUGCUUAGUUCGCUUCGGAUGGGUUUUAUGGAAAUCAUUGAAUGCAUAUGAACAAGCACCGUACUUCAAAUGGGUACUUGUGAUGAGUCUGUUUGUAUAUGCCCAAAUAGCUUGAUGGUGCUAACAGUAUUUCACUAAGAGCAGUUGCUUGUAUCCUGUCUUGGGAGUUUUUAAUCAGCAUGUGAAAUGAAUAAGGAGAAUGUCAGGUAACCAAAGCGGCUGCCAGGUUUUCCUGAUACGGUUUCAUUGGGCAGUGGAAUUUUAAAUUGAUUCUGACCUUGGAUCGCGAUUGAUUCAGAAUUUAAAAUUAUCAAAUUUUAUUUUUAUUAGGAUAUUGAAUCUUGAGACCGUGUUCUUUGUUGCUAUUGGAUUUGCCUUCCCUGUAUGCUAAGAAUAUGGAUGAUGAAUGAAGUAAAAUAUCUUAUGGAAAAAAUAUGAUCUGGGGAGAGAUUGGGAGGAAACUUUCAAUUUCAGAGUAGGACGACAAAAAUGGUAUACUUGGGAUUCCCUAUUAUUUGCUCUCAAAGGUUGCCGUUUAACUGGCUUCUAUAGGCGAGUUUAUCCAGUAUCCACCGAAACCACUGCAAAAUUAGAAAAUAGAAAGCUUACUUUCCCAAAGUUGCUUAGUGUUGCAAGUUUAAUCAGCUUUUUCGAUAAAGUAUCCAAACAGAGAUAGUUUUGUUGUUUGCUACACAUUUGCGUGACAAUAUUCUCUCACAGAGCUGUUAGCAAAGCAGUCUGUUAAUGCGCAGAUCAUUUAUUAGGUCGCUAUCACUGUAGAAGAAAACAUAAGUUGUGAAGAACUUCUCCUGGUAGGAAGACGGAUAUAGAACAGAGUGAAGAUACAUACACAAGUAUAGUGAGAACAAAACCUCGAAGAAUUGGCUCAGCCAUUCCAUAUAGAUGACAGGAGAGUACAGAAGUUUUACUUAUAGAGAACUCAUUUUAACUCUUUGCUAUUGGUUUAUUGGAAAAUAUUUUAGGUAUAAGUUUGAGCAUUGAAGUAUAUAAGAUAUUAAUCUAAGAGGACAAUGCAGUAUUAACACCCAUAAAAAGAUGCAUUUCGCUUGGUCUUACUGUGCCUUCCAGUAUAUGAGAAAUUAAUCUGACUACAGCAUCUCAACUUGAAGGUUUAGAAACUAAGAUUCGGAAUGGAAGUUACAUAAUGUGUUCGCCUGUGUAGCAGUAUUAGAUAACACGUGAAGAUUGAAGUACCAACGCCGUGUCUACAGUAUACCAAGUAAAACACUAAAUACAACCACAUCCAUGAAGUGAACAUUUUUUUGGAAUUAAUAUUAACUAAAUCUUGAAAGAUAUUCUGAAAACCACAUGCGAUUAAUUCAGUUCAUAACUUUCUGUUAUUCCUUCUUGUUUAUUUGUUCUACUUUUUUCUAUUUUUAUUUGAGGAGGGGGAUCGUUAUUGAUUAUAUGCAUUUUGCGAGGAUUUUCUAAUAUUUCAUUCGUUAGAACCUGAGGGCUUGUCAUUUGGGUUGAUGUGAAUUACAUUUAUGCCCUUUAGUUUUUUUAUUAACUGCGGCGCCCUAUGCCCUUUAAUGUAAAUUUAGUUUGUUCUUGGGCAGUGGACGACUAGCCAUACUUUCUUCUCUUUCCAUCGAUUCUCCCAUGGUUAAUAGGUAAAUAACAGUGAGAAUAACAAUUGUAUAGACAGGAUAUUAACACUAUUCCACCCUCAUAGUGUCUGUGUUUUUGUUUACAACGGUGUCCGGUGAAUGAGAUUCUCAAAAGCUAGCUCUUUGAACAGGUUGCUGUCUUUUUGGUUGCUUUCUGAAUUAUUCUCGACUCUUGUUUGAUGUUGUUGUGCAAAGUUAUAGCUUUCAGAUAAUGGUUGCAGAUGAAUUACUUUAAUAGGAUGGUUUGCCUGAUUUUAUGGAUGUGCCCUUAGCCAAUUGCUAAAUAUUAUUGACUUAACUAAGCAAUUGCACUCUAAAUUUUAGUUUCUUCGUGUUUUUUUCCUUGAAAUUGGUAUGUUGAAUCUUGAUUUUUCUGAGUUCGUUAAGUAGUUUUUAGUUCUGUAUUUUUGUUCUUUAUAGCUUGUUCAAUAUAUAUUAUCUGCUGUGGAGUCUAGAAGCUUUUGAAGCAACUGGAGUGACACUCCUCUUUGAUUAGUUAUUCUGUGAAAACAGCUUUCCAGUUUUGAGUAAACUUUGGCAAUCUGAAAUGCUGAAAUUAUCAUAUGCAUAUAUAUGAAUAGACUUAUUCUAGGGAUGAGAGUCUGGUUCGCUUCUCUUAUUUGGAGCUCUCAAUUGAGCUGAUGGUGACUCCCAACUUUUUCUUGGAGGUUCAAGCGGAUGACUAAAUUGCAUUACAUUCCGAAAUGAACUACAUGAUUCUCGCGAACUACAUCAGAUUCUUUAGAUAAAUGAUUACUAGCUUUUAGAGUGGAUUUUUCCUUGGCUUUAUUUAUUGUCGCUAUUGUUGUCUUAGUCAACAAGAUGGGGAACUUGUUAAUAGCCACUAUUUUCCUCUUACUGAUCAUUUUGCAUCUGCAUGGCCUCGGGCCCCAAUUUUGUUGUCAAGACUUACCGAUAGUCUAAGUUUAGCCAACUCCAUUCUUUUUCAUUUGUUUCAAGUUUUCCUUUAUUCUGGUCUUUUAAUAGAAGCGCCCCUACAAAUUAUUACAGACAAUCUUCCCAGUGAAUGACCGUACCCCAAAUUGACACAGGAGAAUAAAUAGAAUGUAGUAGGACGCUUGAGAAAAUCACUUUCGUACUGCAACGUCAAACCCCUAGCAUACCUGGUGAGUCACCAUUAAUAAUUGACUUAGAAAGGUGAAUGUCUUGGCUAGAAAAGGCGCAGUGGAUAAAUAUUUAGUGAACGAAAUAUUCUUAUUGAAGAUAAAGAUAGAGGGACUUGAACCCUGCAAUUUGAAUAUAAGCUUGUGUUGGCAGGCAAGCUGCAUGCUUCUUUAUCUAGCUGAUUGUGUUUGUAAUAGUCUUCUAUGUAUCCUUCCAAAUAUAAUCUGAUGUUCUCAAAGGGACACUAUUUGUAAUAGUGUUGACCAACCAUAAAAUAAUAUUUUUUCAGGAUCAUAAAUUCCUUUUAGGAUCAUAUGAGGGACGUGUUUGCAUCAUAUGUUGCAGAGUUUAUUGUGGUGCUUUAAAUUCUUUUUAUUUCUUGUGCAUUUCGUCUGUUUAAAUAAAUCUGCUGACACUUCCUCAAUGCAUUGCUUUCUCUCAACAAAUAUUAAUUUUUUUGCUUUUGUUGUUGUGUCACUGAUCUACUCUGAGUAAUUCCUGCAGAAAUUAAAAUCGUUUUGAGAACUCUACAAGUAUAAUUUUUUUUUUCAAAUGGCCACGCAGAUUCUCCUCAACCGUCAAAGAAAGAUUGAUGUACAGGGAUUAUUUAGAGAUAUUCCUGAUCUUAAUUCAAGGAGGAGACAUUUGAGUAAGAGGCUGAAUAUUUUAAGAGACCAAUUGAUCAAGCGAUCACAAGGAGAAGAAUUGUUAAAAUUCAUUGCCAUCAAACGACAUAAGCUAUAAUAGCUCCUUUAUCUAACCCUUCUUGCAAGGAUCUGAUUGGUUCCACCUAUUGAUACCAUACCACUUCGUAAGCGCAACAUCAGAAGUAGAAAAGCGGACAAGCUUAGACUUACCAAUUAUUCUCUCAAGAAUCUGGUAUCUUCUUGCUGAAUUAAGAAAACGAAAAAGAGAUCCAAUAUAUUCUAUUAUUGUUAGGUUCGCCGGUCUCUUUUUUCCUUCCUUGUGCAAUUUUUAUUUUUUUGCUUUUGCUUUCUGCUUUCUUAUUUUUGGGUCGCGUUGAUUGAUCUCUUUGGAGAUUCAAAAUCAAGUUGGUCCAUGGAUUGGUAGAAUCUUUUCAUAGGCGUGUGACUUUGGAGAAUAUUGAAACAAGGAUAAUUUGCCGAGCAUUUGUCUUUCAUUUUUCCAACGCAGAGCUUGAUGUUUAGGGACAUGCUCGAGUGCCGGCUUUGCUUUUGGAGGAAUCAAAAAAGCGUUUGAGCCUUCCAACCUGAAUUUCUGUCUCUAACCUUUAGUUAUUUAUGUUGAGGAAACCUCUUGAUUAUUAGCCAAGUAAGGAGUUAGAAUGAACCCGAUGACCAAAAUUUCAUUUUUUAUCCGAGAAGCUCUAUCAUCCAAAAUAUAACUGCCAGAAAUGCUUUUUUGAGAAAAAACUACCCGAAAUAUUUUAAUAUACGCAUUCAUCUCAAUUUAAAAACUUUCCUCCAACCAGUGCACAUUGAUCGAAAACAUUCUUCUCUUAUUCUAGAUUUGUUGGCUGGCUCUACAGUGACAUUGAUUUGACGCUACUUUGACCUCAUGGAAAUGAACAUUCUUUACAUAUAUAUUUGUUCCUGUUUUGGCCCUCCCUCCUUGUGGCAUGGGAGACAGAUUCAUCACGGUGGAAGCUUUUCCAGGUUUGAUGGUAAACAAUACCUAGCAUAUUGAAACUUGUGAAUCACUACUCUAGCAAGUUGAAUUCAGUAUAGAUGUUUAGUCAUUUGACAUUAAGGACUAUCUUGUUGAACAAAUUAUUUUAUGUUACUUUUUGGUAGUUAACUUUCCUAAUGCGUGAUUAUGUCUUAAGUAAAUAGAGUUCAGUUAGUUUAAUUUGGUUGAACAAGUUGUGUUUCACUGUUUUGUGAGUAGUUUUUUGCAUCAAUAUAAAAGGGGUAGGACGAAAGCAUACCUCGCCGAAGGAAGGAUUAUACUAAACGUAAUAUCCAGGUCAAAAGUAUUACUUGACUCUCGCAUGCCCUGCUCGAAAAAAAUUCCGUUCUUCCUCUUCUUCCCUGAGGUCUGUUUUAAAUUUAAAAAUGUCAAUAUUUACUCUAUGAAGGUCAAUGUCUUGUUAAAAGUUGGGAGUGUAGUUUGUUUGAGUUGCAAAGUUUAAAUCUUCUGUGGUUCUCUUAUGCAGGAAUUAGUUGUAUUUGUUAGACCUGGUUUUUUCGGGAAAGGUGUACAAUAUAUCACUUGUUAGCAUCUCUUACAUGUGUAUACCUGGUUCGUUACACUUUGCUGCAUACCUCGAGGAUGUAUAUUAAUUUUAUUUCCGAAUGCGAAGAAACUAUCUUGUGUAUAUACAGUUUUUAUAGAUUGUUAUAGAUUAACUUCUACUAUUCUAUUAAGGUUCUUUAGAA
Nicotiana tabacum (common tobacco) is the source of this 7447-nucleotide non-coding RNA. NCBI's taxonomy places the organism in Eukaryota, Viridiplantae, Streptophyta, Magnoliopsida, Solanales, Solanaceae. The record is from RefSeq and is a predicted model, not a curated record.